CUGGGACUACAGGCGUGUACCACCACGUCCGGCUAAUUUUUUGUAUUUUAGUAAAGAUGGGGUUUCACCAUGUUGGCCAGGAUGGUCUCAAUCUCCUGACCUCGUGAUCCGCCUGCCUCAACCUCCCAAAGUGCUGGGACCACAGACAUGAGCCACUGCCCCCGCCCUUCAUGUGCUGGUUGGUCAUUCCUAUAUCUUCCUUGGAGAAAGGUCUACUCAGGUUCUUCGACUAUUUCACCCAUCAGAUAAGCAACCCGGGCUGUUGAGAGGACGAUGUUAACUGACCCCCAAGGCAGGACCAGGUGCUGAAGUCCUGCUCUUUCAAAGAUGAUGAACCAGAGAAUACUGUGUCACUGCUUGUUCCAUUCCUGUGCUGGUACUGGCAAGUGGGAAAGCUGGGAUUCAAAUCCAAGUCUGUGUCUCCAAAAGUCCAUGUUGAAGCUGUUCUUGUUGCUGAAUUUAAUGAACCUCUAACACAUGAUCCAAUGGAGAAAGUGUCACUGAGCUGGGCCGCAGAGCUGGUUAUCAAGGGUAGUCUACGAAGUCAGAGGGAACUUCACAAUGUUGGACACUGAGCUUCCAUGCACCUGGUCUAAAACGAGGAAGAGCAUAAGAGGAAAGCCUGCACCCCUCCUUGGUCUGUCUCAAUCUGCAUUUUGCCAGUAAGACUUGCUGGGCCUCCACUCGGGUUAAGGUCGAUGAAUAAAACCAGAGAACUUAAAAAGAGGAAACAUCAACACUGAAGAGGUCAUGGGGAAGAGGAAGGAAAGUACGGCACCUGCUAUCAAUUUGACUUGCAUGUAACCAGAAUUCUCAGAACUUGUUGGUUGCUCCUGCUGGCUCCUGUCCAUGUAUGCCAAGAGGACAUGAUGGCAAGCGGAUUAGAACCAGAGAUGAUGAUCCUUCCAUCCCCCUCUGGGCAUCCUCCUCAGCUUCAAGAGCUACAGAUGCAAGAGCAUGAUGGGCAUCCUCCUCAGCUUCAAGAGCUACAGAUGCAAAAGCAUGAAUGAAGUCCUGCCUGUGUUGCCUGACUUUGUCACUGAGACCAGAAGGAGACCCCAUGCGGAAUCAACUAGCAAACACAAACAGCUGCCUGGUGCUGCAGGGCAAACAGACUUGAUGAUGAAAUUCUCAAAAUUCAUCAUUGCCUAAUUUUUUUUUUUUUUAGAAAUAUGCACCAUUUUGUUAGCCAAAGUGCAGAUUUUCGUAGAGAAAACAGGAAAAUUAUUGAUAUGGGUACACUCACAACGUGCUAAAUACAAACUAAACAGAUAACCCAUAAGGCAGAAAAUAUAACCCCUCCCCGACUCCAUUUCUGCCUUUGUCCCUUUCCAUCUGCAUGGCUGUCCCCCACCCUGGCAAGUGCUCUGCCUCUCCCAAGAGCAUUUUUGGGGGUCCAGCCAGGUAGCACCACCUUCCUUAUCCCUUAGUCCUUCCUGCUGCUCAGAGAGGAAUUUUCUGGAGCUGGGCUCUAAUCAGUGCACAGAGGUGGGAUGGAGAUGAGUUUUUUUAAAAUAUAAUUUAUCACGCAUUUGCACCCAUUGUUCUCCCAACCAGAUUGCAAACCACUAGGAUACAGGGUCAUGUCUAGUUUCUCUUGCCUGCCCUCCCCUCCCCAGCUCCCAAAUUAGACAUGGCAGAGUAUCUUUACUACACUGGGCUGGCAAUUCAUGUUUUACACUGAAUAAGUAGAUAAGGCAGAAUUGUCUAUUUUUAUGUUGUUUUUUGGCAGGUCCCUGCCAGACUUCAUAGGCAUAAACUAUGGGAUACAUCUCGUGUGCAUCCAAGUGAGAGAGAGGACAGUAAAACACAGUUACCUACACAGACAGGGAAAAUCACACUCACACAUACACACCGACAGAAUUUCAUUUAAUCAAGUGCACAUUGGAAGUAGAAAGCAUGAAGCUGAAAGUACUCCAGCUCUGUUUAGCCAACACUAAACCAUAAGAGGGACCUCAGCCUUUAACACAUGGCCGGGUUUGACAACUCUUUGGUUCCAGACUGACUUCCCAACUGACCAGUUGCUUUUGCGUCUCUUAGAUUCAGCUUCACCUUGAAUCCCAACUUCCUCCCUCCCCCUCCCUACUUCCCUGGGCGUUCUCUGGCUUUUCAGUCCUGGUAUGAGCCAAGCAAAGCUCAAUUAGCUAAUGAGGUGCCCAAGACCAGCACCAAGACUGUCUCCAAGGGCCAACCAGGCCAUUAACUGCCAUCAUCAGUGUUAAUUUACAACCUUGCCUACCACAUGGAGUGCGGGGAUGCUGUGAAGUUCUGCCAACCUUUUGGCUGACAGGGAUACAGAGAAGUGCUGGCAAGGCAAAAACAGAGUAAAUUAAAAAUAUGCUUCAAUCUAUAGGCUCUAUUUAUCUAUGUCUUUCUUUAGUAAUAUAACAUUAAGGUAAAAGGUCAUAGCCCCACUGAAAUAUAAUUUAUAUUUACCUUUUAUUAAAUAAUUAUGGCAUGGCAUGAAGUUAAAUAUUACAGAAGCUAAUCAAGAGGGAAUUCAAGAGAGAAAACUCAGACAUGAGAAUUUCGUCUUUGCUAUACAUAGAAUGUCUUAAUCCUCCACUGGGAGUCAUUCGGGUUUGCUUAAGGAGUUUAAUAAUACACAUUUCAACUGCCACAGAAUCUAAAUCCCAUUUGGAUCAGCCUUGAAAAACUUUCAUCAAUACCUUGAGAUUUCAUAAUAUUUCUCUUGAGAGCCUGGAUCUCAUGUGCCAUUUCUCAUUUUGAUUGCGGGUAUAAUAUAUGAGAUUACUUACAUAUAUCUUGGACCCAAUAAAUAAAUAUAAAC
RNAcentral lists this long non-coding RNA (2791 nucleotides) under Homo sapiens (human). RNAcentral describes it as "HSALNT0134401". The record is from RNAcentral. Lineage: Eukaryota; Metazoa; Chordata; Mammalia; Primates; Hominidae.